This 649-nucleotide ribosomal RNA is filed under the name uncultured bacterium. Its description in RNAcentral is "bacterial SSU rRNA". It matches the Rfam family "Bacterial small subunit ribosomal RNA", at positions 8 to 657 of the family's 1533-position model. The record is from RNAcentral.
AGAGUUUGAUUAUGGCUCAGGAUGAACGCUGGCGGCGUGCCUAACACAUGCAAGUCGAACGGGGUUGACUUACGGAAGUUUUCGGAUGGAAGUGAGUCAACUUAGUGGCGGACGGGUGAGUAACGCGUGGGCAACCUGCCCCAUGCCGGGGGAUACCGCCUGGAAACAGGCGCUAAUACCGCAUAAGCGCAUACAGCCGCAUGGCAGUAUGCGGAAAGCUCCGGCGGCAUGGGAUGGGCCCGCGCCCGAUUAGCCAGUUGGCGGGGUAACGGCCCACCAAAGCUACGAUCGGUAGCCGGCCUGAGAGGGCGGACGGCCACAUUGGGACUGAGACACGGCCCAAACUCCUACGGGAGGCAGCAGUGGGGAAUAUUGCACAAUGGGGGAAACCCUGAUGCAGCAACGCCGCGUGGGUGAAGGAGCGUUUCGGCGCGUAAAGCCCUGUCAGCGGGGAAGAAGAAAGACGGUACCCGACCAAGAAGCCCCGGCUAACUACGUGCCAGCAGCCGCGGUAAUACGUAGGGGGCGAGCGUUAUCCGGAAUUACUGGGUGUAAAGGGAGCGUAAACGGCGAGGUAAGCCUGAAGUGGAAGCCCGCGGCCCAACCGCGGAACUGCUUUGGGAACUGUUUUGCUGGAGUAUGGGAGGGG